This 492-nucleotide ribosomal RNA is filed under the name uncultured bacterium. RNAcentral describes it as "partial 16S ribosomal RNA". It matches the Rfam family "Bacterial small subunit ribosomal RNA", at positions 29 to 507 of the family's 1533-position model. The record is from RNAcentral.
AGUGAACGCUGGCGGUAGGCCUAACACAUGCAAGUCGAACGGCAGCACAGUAAGAGCUUGCUCUUACGGGUGGCGAGUGGCGGACGGGUGAGGAAUACAUCGGAAUCUACUUUUUCGUGGGGGAUAACGUAGGGAAACUUACGCUAAUACCGCAUACGACCUACGGGGGAAAGCAUGGGAUCUUCGGACCUUGCGCGAAUGGAUGAGCCGAUGUCGGAUUAGCUAGUUGGCGGGGUAAAGGCCCACCAAGGCGACGAUCCGUAGCUGGUCUGAGAGGAUGAUCGGCCACACUGGAACUGAGACACGGUCCAGGCUCCUACGGGAGGGAGCAGUGGGGAAUAUUGGACAAUGGGCGCAAGCCUGAUCCAGCCAUACCGAGUGGGUGAAGAAGGCCUUCGGGUUGUAAAGCCCUUUUGUUGGGAAAGAAAAGCAGCAGGUUAAUACCCCGCUGUUCUGACGGUAACCAAAGAAUAAGCACCGGCUAACUUCGUG